UCUCGAUUGGUCUAGUGGCUAGGAUACCUGCUUGUCAAUUCGGUGUUCCGCACCGGUUAGCAAGCCGCAGGUGGCCGGGGUUCGAUUCCCCGAUCGAGAG
This is a non-coding RNA of Xylaria sp. CBS 124048, 100 nucleotides long. The record is from the annotation of a GenBank genome assembly. Lineage: Eukaryota; Fungi; Ascomycota; Sordariomycetes; Xylariales; Xylariaceae.